This is a long non-coding RNA of Austrofundulus limnaeus, 747 nucleotides long. RefSeq lists it as uncharacterized. Lineage: Eukaryota; Metazoa; Chordata; Actinopteri; Cyprinodontiformes; Rivulidae. The record is from RefSeq and is a predicted model, not a curated record. The transcript is spliced from 2 exons.
UGGACAGAUGUUUGGACCGUCAAUUGGACAGAUGUUUGGACCGUCAAUUGGACAGAUGUUUGGCCCGUUAAUUGGACAGAUGUUUGGACCCGUUAAUUGGACAGAUGUUUGGACCCGUUAAUUGGACAGAUGUUUGGACCCGUUAAUUGGACAGAUGUUUGGACCCGUUAAUUGGACAGAUGUUUGGACCCGUUAAUUGGACAGAUGUUUGGACCCGUUAAUUGGACAGAUGUUUGGGCUGUUAAUUGGACGUGUCGUUUGUUUCUCUGUUUUUCAGGCUGCAUCCUUAAUGAAGACAACUUUACCAUGAGGUGUCCAGAACACAAGAACAAAGUCUGGACCACCACGAGCCGACAAGACAAGAGAUGACAGCAAAACCCCUGCAGGUUCAAGCUUUUGAUUGAUUGAUUGAAUGAAUGAAUGAAUGGUUGGUUGGUUGGUUGGUUGAUUUGUUAGUUAAUUGGUUGGUUGGGUGGUUUUUUUGGUUGAUUGAUUGAUUGGUUGAUUCAUUCAUUGGUUAAUUGGUUGGUUGGUUGGUUGGUUGGUUGAUCAGUUGUGUGGCUUCUGAUUUGUUUUUCUUUCUUCUUCUGUACAUCAUGAAGGCUACAUUCACUGUGCAGAACGAUCAGAUCUUCUGUGUUGGACCAUGACAGUUUACAGAGGAAAUAUAGAUGUUAACAUGUUUCAGUCCGGGUUACAUCUGCAUACAUGGCAACUCCUUCAGACAUUUAGCUGUAUCUUCACUCU